GUAGUUGGCCGGCGCUUCUUCUGCAGGUACCGUCACUUACGCUUCGUCCCUGCUGAAAGAGGUUUACAACCCGAAGGCCGUCAUCCCUCACGCGGCGUCGCUGCAUCAGGCUUCCGCCCAUUGCCCAAUAUUCCCCACUGCUGCCUCCCGUAGGAGUCUGGACCGUGUCUCAGUUCCAGUGUGGCCGAUCAGCCUCUCAGCUCGGCUACCCAUCGUCGGCUAGGUGGGCCGUUACCCCGCCUACUACCUAAUGGGACGCGAACCCCUCCUAUAGCGGAUUGCUCCUUUGACCCCUUCGCCAUGUGGCAUUGUGGUCUUAUGCGGUAUUAGCACUUGUUUCCAGGUGUUAUCCCCCUCUUUAGGUCAGGUUGUUCACGCGUUACUCACCCGUGCGCCACUAAAGAUACCUCGUAUUGCUACUCAGUAUCCUCCGUUCGACUUGCAUGUGUUAGGCACGCCGCCAGCGUUCGUCCUGAGCCAGGAUCAAACUCUGA
RNAcentral lists this ribosomal RNA (494 nucleotides) under uncultured bacterium. Its description in RNAcentral is "partial 16S ribosomal RNA". The record is from RNAcentral.